UCCAAGCCACUUUCAGGUACAGACAACUGUG
RNAcentral lists this non-coding RNA (31 nucleotides) under Macaca fascicularis (crab-eating macaque). The record is from RNAcentral. Lineage: Eukaryota; Metazoa; Chordata; Mammalia; Primates; Cercopithecidae. RNAcentral also lists the same sequence under 1 other name.